UUGAACGCUGGCGGCAGGCCUAACACAUGCAAGUCGAACGCGAAAGUCCUUCGGGAUGAGUAGAGUGGCGGACGGGUGAGUAACGCGUAGGAAUCUACCUAGUAGUGGGGGAUAACUUGGGGAAACUCAAGCUAAUACCGCAUACGCCCCAAGGGGGAAAGCGGAGGAUCUUCGGACUUCGUGCUAUUAGAUGAGCCUGCGUAAGAUUAGCUAGUUGGUAGGGUAAAGGCCUACCAAGGCGACGAUCUUUAGCUGUUCUGAGAGGAUGAUCAGCCACACUGGGACUGAGACACGGCCCAGACUCCUACGGGAGGCAGCAGUGGGGAAUAUUGGACAAUGGGGGCAACCCUGAUCCAGCCAUGCCGCGUGUGUGAAGAAGGCCUUCGGGUUGUAAAGCACUUUCAGUGGGGAGGAAAGGUUGUAGGUUAAUACCCUGCAGCUGUGACGUUACCCACAGAAGAAGCACCGGCUAACUUCGU
RNAcentral lists this ribosomal RNA (479 nucleotides) under uncultured bacterium. Its description in RNAcentral is "bacterial SSU rRNA". It matches the Rfam family "Bacterial small subunit ribosomal RNA", at positions 30 to 506 of the family's 1533-position model. The record is from RNAcentral.